AUGAUUGUCGUGCAUGAAUUGCAAUUCUCCAUGGUGGAAUAUGUUGGAUUUAGGCAAUUCAUGCAUAGUCUGAAUCCCACAUUUUAGGUGGUGUAUAGGAUGACAAUAAGAGUUGAUUGACUCAUGCUAUUUGAUGAACAAAGGACAAAGCUUCUAGUGGUUAUACAAAACUUAACCUCUCAUGUCAUUUUAACUGCCGACAUGUGGACGUUAAGUCAAGUCAUGAGCUAUAUGUGUAUAACAUGUUGUUUUGUUGGUGCAAACUGGAAAUUGCAGAAAAGAAUGAUUUGGUUUUCCAAGGCACAAACCCCACACGGUGGAACAAAUUUAUUUAAUAUCAUGUUAGAAUACAUGCAACAUUGGGGUUUGCCAAAGAAGGUUUUCUCCAUUACUUUAGACAAUGCAACAAAUAACAACUCGUGUGUGAGCUUCAUCAAAUCCAUUAGGCUAAACAAUGCAACAAAGAAUUUGCUACCUUCUAAAGGAGAUCUUUUACAUGGUCAAUGUGAUUCCCAUGUGAUCAACCUCAUGGGAAAGCAUCAAGUUCGUUAG
Molecule: ribosomal RNA, 552 nt
Filed under: Triticum aestivum (bread wheat)
Lineage: Eukaryota; Viridiplantae; Streptophyta; Magnoliopsida; Poales; Poaceae
Description: partial small subunit ribosomal RNA
Source: RNAcentral